UGGAAUAGGAUGAGAGCAAUUAGAAUGAACCUGAGAAUGCAGCACAUUUUCUAUCAAGGGGCUAUUCUAUGCUUGAACAGAUGAUGUAUGAUGAUCACAGAAAGAAAGGAAUACUUGUGCCUACCGAAAAAGAGUUUCGAGGCUAUUAUGCUCUCCUUAAAUUGGAUAAGCAUCCUGGUUAUAAAGUUGAACCUGCAGAGCUAUUCCUUAAUCUCGCUAAGAUGACUCUAGAGACAAGGUAGACUCCAGAAGUUCUAAUUGCCUGCGAUGUAGCAAGGUUUGUAAUUUCAAAUGGAAAUUAAAUUAGCUACUUUUUUUUUUACCUUACUUAGCUUG
Arachis ipaensis is the source of this 336-nucleotide non-coding RNA. NCBI's taxonomy places the organism in Eukaryota, Viridiplantae, Streptophyta, Magnoliopsida, Fabales, Fabaceae. The record is from RefSeq and is a predicted model, not a curated record.